AUGUUCAAAAGUGCCUGCAGAAACAACUCUAUUUUUCAGAAAUUUUGGACACCUCCGGUUUGACAGAUCCUAAAACUGGUGUCUCUGGACCCAGUUCAAAAACAAUGACUUUUCAUGAAGCAUGAAAAAAGUUGUUGCAGCAUGGACUGAAUUUCCUUAUUUCUGCGUGAGGCAGUUUAAACUUUCCUGCAAGAUUUUGCUUCAUGUUAAAGGUCAGUAACAAUCUGCAAAGAGGGCACAAGGCAAAGAUUUCCAGCUUUCUCUGCAUGGCACUUGUGAAUCCUCAGCAAGAAACACUCUGUGGUAUUCUGCUCCUUUUUACCAACAUGGACAAGAGGAAUGGUGCCUUCCUGAGGCUAUUAAAAAAACAGGAUGGGCUUACUACACUGUUCUUUAGACUAACUCCAGCCUAUUUCAAACAUUUUGAGAUAUACUUGAGAUCAGUUUGAACAAAAAAAAAAAAAAAA
Molecule: long non-coding RNA, 467 nt
Organism: Vidua macroura (Pin-tailed whydah)
Lineage: Eukaryota; Metazoa; Chordata; Aves; Passeriformes; Viduidae
Exons: 3
Source: RefSeq, a predicted model, not a curated record